GACGAACGCUGGCGGCGUGCUUAACACAUGCAAGUCGAACGGUGAAGCGCCUUCCUUUUUGGUGGGUGUGGAUGAGUGGCGAACGGGUGAGUAACACGUGAGUAACCUGCCCCCUUCUUCUGGAUAACCGCAUGAAAGUGUGGCUAAUACGGGAUAUUCUGGGUCUGUCGCAUGAUGGGUCUGGGAAAGAUAUUGUUUCGGUGGGGGAUGGGCUCGCGGCCUAUCAGCUUGUUGGUGGGGUGAUGGCCUACCAAGGCGGUGACGGGUAGCCGGCCUGAGAGGGUGGACGGUCACACUGGGACUGAGACACGGCCCAGACUCCUACGGGAGGCAGCAGUGGGGAAUAUUGCACAAUGGGCGCAAGCCUGAUGCAGCGACGUCGCGUGAGGGAUGGAGGCCUUCGGGUUGUGAACCUCUUUCGCCAGUGAAGCAGGCCUGCCUCGUUUGUGGGUGGGUUGACGGUAGCUGGAUAAGAAGCGCCGGCUAACUACGUG
This 494-nucleotide ribosomal RNA is filed under the name uncultured bacterium. RNAcentral describes it as "partial 16S ribosomal RNA". It matches the Rfam family "Bacterial small subunit ribosomal RNA", at positions 28 to 507 of the family's 1533-position model. The record is from RNAcentral.